GACGAACCGUGCAAACGUUGUUCGGAAUCACUGGGCUUAAAGGGCGCGUAGGCGGGCCAGCCAGUCUGUGGUGAAAGCCUCCAGCUUAACUGGAGAAGUGCCGUGGAUACUGCUGGCCUCGAGGAGGAUAGGGGCAUCUGGAACGGUCGGUGGAGCGGUGAAAUGCGUUGAUAUCGACCGGAACUCCGGUGGCGAAGGCGAGGUGCUGGGUCCUUUCUGACGCUGAUGCGCGAAAGCGUGGGGAGCGAUCCGG
Molecule: ribosomal RNA, 253 nt
Filed under: uncultured bacterium
Lineage: Bacteria
Description: partial 16S ribosomal RNA
Rfam family: Bacterial small subunit ribosomal RNA
Source: RNAcentral